This 445-nucleotide ribosomal RNA is filed under the name uncultured bacterium. Its description in RNAcentral is "bacterial SSU rRNA". It matches the Rfam family "Bacterial small subunit ribosomal RNA", at positions 30 to 483 of the family's 1533-position model. The record is from RNAcentral.
AUUGAACGCUGGCGGCAGGCUUAACACAUGCAAGUCGAGCGGAAACGGAGGUAGCUUGCUACCAGACGUCGAGCGGCGAACGGGUGAGUAACGCGUAGGAAUCUACCUAGUAGAGGGGGAUAGCCCGGGGGAAACUCGGAUUAAUACCGCAUACGCCCUAAGGGGGAAAGCAGGGGAUCUUCGGACCUUGCGCUAUUAGAUGAGCCUGCGUCGGAUUAGCUAGUUGGUAGGGUAAAGGCCUACCAAGGCGACGAUCCGUAGCUGGUCUGAGAGGAUGAUCAGCCACACUGGAACUGAGACACGGUCCAGACUCCUACGGGAGGCAGCAGUGGGGAAUAUUGGACAAUGGGGGCAACCCUGAUCCAGCCAUGCCGCGUGUGUGAAGAAGGCCUCGGUGUAAGCACUUCUAGUAGGAGGAAGGACUACGAUAGCUAAUAUACUAUUA